CAGCAGCCGCGGUAAUACGAAGGGUGCAAGCGUUAAUCGGAAUUACUGGGCGUAAAGCGUGCGUAGGCGGUUUGUUAAGUCUGCUGUGAAAUCCCCGGGCUCAACCUGGGAAUGGCAGUGGAUACUGGCAAGCUAGAGUGUGUCAGAGGAUGGUGGAAUUCCCGGUGUAGCGGUGAAAUGCGUAGAGAUCGGGAGGAACAUCAGUGGCGAAGGCGGCCAUCUGGGACAACACUGACACUGAGGCACGAAAGCGUGGGGAGCAAACAGGAUUAGAGACCCGCGUAGUCCCUGUCUCUUAUAC
Molecule: ribosomal RNA, 301 nt
Filed under: uncultured bacterium
Lineage: Bacteria
Description: partial 16S ribosomal RNA
Rfam family: Bacterial small subunit ribosomal RNA
Source: RNAcentral